UACGUAGGGUGCGAGCGUUAAUCGGAAUUACUGGGCGUAAAGCGUGCGCAGGCGGUGAUGUAAGACAGAUGUGAAAUCCCCGGGCUCAACCUGGGACCUGCAUUUGUGACUGCAUCGCUAGAGUACGGCAGAGGGGGAUGGAAUUCCGCGUGUAGCAGUGAAAUGCGUAGAUAUGCGGAGGAACACCGAUGGCGAAGGCAAUCCCCUGGGCCUGUACUGACGCUCAUGCACGAAAGCGUGGGGAGCAAACAGG
This 253-nucleotide ribosomal RNA is filed under the name uncultured bacterium. RNAcentral describes it as "partial 16S ribosomal RNA". It matches the Rfam family "Bacterial small subunit ribosomal RNA", at positions 524 to 776 of the family's 1533-position model. The record is from RNAcentral.